Molecule: unclassified non-coding RNA, 430 nt
Filed under: soil metagenome
Description: partial contains 5.8S ribosomal RNA, internal transcribed spacer 2, and large subunit ribosomal RNA
Rfam family: 5.8S ribosomal RNA (bases 1-120)
Source: RNAcentral
GAUUAAGAACGUAGCGAAAUGCGAUACGUAAUGUGAAUUGCAGAAUUCAGUGAAUCAUCGAAUCUUUGAACGCAUAUUGCGCUCUCUGGUAUUACGGAGAGCAUGCUUGUUUGAGUAUCAGUAAACACCUCAACUCCCUUUUCUUUUUUGAAAUUGGAGCUGGACUUGAGUGAUCCCAACGCUUUCUUCCAAGAAAGUGGCGGGUUGCUUGAAAUGCAGGUGCAGCUGAACUUUUCUCUGAGCUAUAAGCAUAUCUAUUUAGUCUGCCUAAAAAACAGAUUAUUACCUUUGCUGCAGCUAACAUAAAGGAGACUAGUUCUUGUGCUGACUGAUGCAGGAUUCACAGAGACAGCUUCGGCUGACUUUGUAAACUCGAUCUCAAAUCAAGUAAGACUACCCGCUGAACUUAAGCAUAUCAAUAAGCGGAGGA